UUCAAACGAGAGUUUGAUCCCGGCUCAGAAUCAACGCUGGCGGCGCGCUUAACACAUGCAAGUCGCACGAGAAAGGGGAGCAAUCCCUGAGUACAGUGGCGUACGGGUGAGUAACACGUGGAUGAUCUACCUCUUGGUGGGGAAUAACCCUGGGAAACCGGGGCUAAUACCGCAUAAGCCCAUUCUUUAAAGAGAAGACGGGAAAGCAGCAAUGCGCCGAGAGAGGAGUCCGCGGCCGAUUAGCUAGUUGGCGGGGUAAUGGCCCACCAAGGCGAAGAUCGGUAGCCGGCCUGAGAGGGCACACGGCCACAC
RNAcentral lists this ribosomal RNA (312 nucleotides) under Acidobacteriota bacterium. RNAcentral's name for it is "bacterial SSU rRNA". It matches the Rfam family "Bacterial small subunit ribosomal RNA", at positions 1 to 313 of the family's 1533-position model. The record is from RNAcentral. Lineage: Bacteria; Pseudomonadati; Acidobacteriota.